GACGAACGCUGGCGGCGUGCUUAAUACAUGCAAGUCGAACGGAAAGGCCCUGCUUGUGUGGGGUGUUCGAGUGGCGAACUGGUGAGUAACACGUGAGUAACUUGCCCUUGACUUUGUGAUAACUUCAGGACACUGGGGCUAAUACCGGAUACGAGCUUCUGCUGCUUUUUGGGGGUUGGAGGGUUUGGGCGGUUGGGGAUGGACUCGAGGCUUAUCAGCUGGUUGGUGGGGUUGUGGCUUACUAAGGGUUUGACGGGUAGCCGGCCUGAGAGGGUGACCGGCCACAUUGGGACUGAGCUACGGCCCGGACUCCUACGGGAGGCAGCAGUGGGGAAUAUUGCACAAUGGGGGGAAGCCUGAUGCAGCAACGCCGCGUGCGGGAUGACGGCCUUCGGGUUGUAAACCGCUUUCACCUGUGACGAAGCGUGAGUGACGGUAAUGGGUAAAGAAGCACCGGCUAACUACGUG
RNAcentral lists this ribosomal RNA (468 nucleotides) under uncultured bacterium. RNAcentral's name for it is "partial 16S ribosomal RNA". It matches the Rfam family "Bacterial small subunit ribosomal RNA", at positions 28 to 507 of the family's 1533-position model. The record is from RNAcentral.